GAUGAACGCUGGCGGCGUGCCUAAUACAUGCAAGUCGAACGAAACUUCUUUAUCACCGAGUGCUUGCACUCACCGAUAAAGAGUUGAGUGGCGAACGGGUGAGUAACACGUGGGCAACCUGCCCAAAAGAGGGGGAUAACACUUGGAAACAGGUGCUAAUACCGCAUAACCAUAGUUACCGCAUGGUAACUAUGUAAAAGGUGGCUAUACUACCGCUUUUGGAUGGGCCCGCGGCGCAUUAGCUAGUUGGUAGGGUAAAGGCUUACCAAGGCAAUGAUGCGUAGCCGAAUUGAGAGGUUGAUCGGCCACAUUGGGACUGAGACACGGCCCAAACCCCUACGGGAGGCAGCAGUAGGGAAUCUUCCACAAUGGGCGAAAGCCUGAUGGAGCAACGCCGCGUGGGUGAAGAAGGUCUUCGGAUCGUAAAACCCUGUUGUUAGAGAAGAAAGUGCGUGAGAGUAACUGUUCACGUUUCGACGGUAUCUAACCAGAAAGCCACGGCUAACUACGUG
This 512-nucleotide ribosomal RNA is filed under the name uncultured bacterium. RNAcentral describes it as "partial 16S ribosomal RNA". It matches the Rfam family "Bacterial small subunit ribosomal RNA", at positions 28 to 507 of the family's 1533-position model. The record is from RNAcentral.